GCGGGUAUCGCCAAGCGGUUAAGGCUUCGGUCUGCAAAGCCGAUAUCUCCGGUUCGAAUCCGGAUGCCCGCUCCA
RNAcentral lists this transfer RNA (75 nucleotides) under Blastocatellia bacterium. RNAcentral's name for it is "tRNA-Cys". It matches the Rfam family "tRNA". From Rfam's summary of the family: Transfer RNA (tRNA) molecules are approximately 80 nucleotides in length. The record is from RNAcentral. Lineage: Bacteria; Pseudomonadati; Acidobacteriota; Blastocatellia.